This 72-nucleotide transfer RNA is filed under the name Candidatus Pacearchaeota archaeon. Its description in RNAcentral is "tRNA-Tyr". It matches the Rfam family "tRNA". From Rfam's summary of the family: Transfer RNA (tRNA) molecules are approximately 80 nucleotides in length. Their secondary structure includes four short double-helical elements and three loops (D, anti-codon, and T loops). Further hydrogen bonds mediate the characteristic L-shaped molecular structure. tRNAs have two regions of fundamental functional importance: the anti-codon, which is responsible for specific mRNA codon recognition, and the 3' end, to which the tRNAs corresponding amino acid is attached (by aminoacyl-tRNA synthetases). tRNAs cope with the degeneracy of the genetic code in two manners: having more than one tRNA (with a specific anti-codon) for a particular amino acid; and 'wobble' base-pairing, i.e. permitting non-standard base-pairing at the 3rd anti-codon position. Lineage: Archaea; Nanobdellati. The record is from RNAcentral.
CCCAGCGUAGCUCAACGGUGGAGCACUCGGCUGUAGCCCGGGGGGUUCCCGGUUCAAAUCCGGGCGCUGGGA